This 254-nucleotide ribosomal RNA is filed under the name uncultured bacterium. RNAcentral describes it as "partial 16S ribosomal RNA". It matches the Rfam family "Bacterial small subunit ribosomal RNA", at positions 524 to 776 of the family's 1533-position model. The record is from RNAcentral.
UACGGGGGGAGCAAGCGUUGUUCGGAUUUACUGGGCGUAAAGGGCGCGUAGGCGGUCAGCACAAGUCAGUUGUGAAAUCUCCGGGCUUAACUCGGAAAGGUCAACUGAUACUGUGCGACUAGAGUGCGGAAGGGGCAACUGGAAUUCUCGGUGUAGCGGUGAAAUGCGUUGAUAUGCACAGGAACUCCGGUGGCGAAAGCGGCGAGCUGGACACCUUCUGACGCUGAGGCACGAAGGUCAGGGGAGCAAACGGG